This is a long non-coding RNA of Syngnathoides biaculeatus (alligator pipefish), 536 nucleotides long. RefSeq lists it as uncharacterized. Lineage: Eukaryota; Metazoa; Chordata; Actinopteri; Syngnathiformes; Syngnathidae. The record is from RefSeq and is a predicted model, not a curated record. The transcript has 2 exons.
CGUGUUUUUAAUAAAUGCCAUUAGAACCAUAAUGUCCACCUUGCCUAUGUAUGAGUAACGGGAGCUCAGGGAUCAAAAAUGGACGCCGUUCGAGGCAGCCCAACAGACGUUUAUUUGCCAAGAGGCCUGAAAUGAGGUCAUUUGAACGUGUUGAUCUUAUCUACAUCACUAGUGAAGAUCUCAGCCUUCCUCACCGCUCCUGAACCAGCGCUGUCAACAUUACAAACACGUGUGCACUCGCUCAUAAGUGGGCCUUCUACACGGAGGCAUCCAUUCAGAGGACAGGAGGGGAAGUCUUAGCCUAAUAUGGACAAAGAAGAUACAAAACUGGGUCAAGCAGAAGUAGCUGUCGGAGGGGCCUUUUUGGAUGACUCCCAUGACAAAAUCAAUUUUUUUUUCAUGAAACUGACACAUUUAUACUAAGUUCAUGUUGAAGAGUUACACCUUAGUUUUGUCAUACAAGUUCAUGUUAAAGAAUUGACCUGUGGAAGUAUAUACAGUGGUACCUCUACUUAUGAAAUGAAUUUGAGAACUCA